UUCAAUCAUCCUACCCAAUCAUUACUGCUUUUAUUUUUAUUUUUCAUUUCCUGUUUUUCAAUCUUCCAGUUCUAGAUGCAGAUCUGAGCCUCAAAACUUUCUAAAUUCACAUCAAAUUAAAAUCCGAUUUUCUUCUUUUUAUUAUUUGUUGUUAAGUUCAAAAUACCCAAAUUUGUUUCGAUAUUUACAAAAAGAUCUGGAUUUAUAAUUUCAGAUCUGUGCUAGUUGACUUAUUUUCUGCUCUGUGCUUUGUUGGAUCUACUACAUAUGAGCAUCUAAUCAACAAAGAUCUGAGUUCUGAUUAGAUGUAUACAUGGGGAUCUUUGUGGUAAAAGUACACGACAUGUUCUUGAGUUUCAGAAUACAAAGAGAUAUGUUCGAAUGUCUCUUUUGGUUUGACGGAUACACGUUUUCAAAAUUACUACAAGUUAUGUAGGUUCUUUUGAAAUGCGUUAUGUCCGAUUUGAUAUAGAAAGGCCAUGAAGCAAAAUGCAUCACAUGGAUCAUUAGACAGAUUGCUUUGCCGAAAUGAAUGAAGAUUAAUGCUGGAUGAACUGAAGACAUAAAUGAACUUUCGUAUUAGUAGUUUAAUCUAAAGUUACUUUAAAUCUAUUUAAAAAAUUGUUGUGUGUACGAAUUUUAAUUGUAAAAUGAACAUGAUGUUUGUAAUUAUAAAAAAAAAUGCACGCAUAUAUUACUAUGGUGGUGUAUUGUUAUGGUGGUGUAUUGUUGUUUAUACACAUAGACAUGUGAUGUGUUUGUAUUCAUUUGAAAAGUGACUAUAACAUUGAAUGUUAUAUGAGGCCCCUUAACUUGUUUUUUUCGUGAACCCUUACAAACUCUAUUCUUGCUACAAAAUCGUAAAACUUGACUUGUGAAAUGGGAUAUGGCAACCUAAUAAUUUUGAAAAAUAUAACUAGAAAUUAAUAAAUCAUCACUCAACCAAUUCUAACACUUCAUACGCAUAUAAAGGUAGUGUUUGGUAUGCAGUAAUGUGGGGUGCAAUGGAAUGUGCCAUUAUGAGAGAAUGAAAAAAAGUGUGUUUUGUUGGUCGAUGGAAUG
RNAcentral lists this long non-coding RNA (1062 nucleotides) under Helianthus annuus (common sunflower). Lineage: Eukaryota; Viridiplantae; Streptophyta; Magnoliopsida; Asterales; Asteraceae. The record is from RNAcentral.